RNAcentral lists this ribosomal RNA (427 nucleotides) under uncultured bacterium. RNAcentral describes it as "bacterial SSU rRNA". It matches the Rfam family "Bacterial small subunit ribosomal RNA", at positions 355 to 774 of the family's 1533-position model. The record is from RNAcentral.
UGGGGAAUUUUGGACAAUGGGCGCAAGCCUGAUCCAGCCAUGCCGCGUGAGUGAAGAAGGCCUUCGGGUUGUAAAGCUCUUUCAGCCGGGAAGAAAAGGUUGCGAUUAAUAAUCGCAAUUGAUGACGGUACCGGAAGAAGAAGCACCGGCUAACUACGUGCCAGCAGCCGCGGUAAUACGUAGGGUGCGAGCGUUAAUCGGAAUUACUGGGCGUAAAGGGUGCGCAGGCGGUUUUGUAAGUCAGAUGUGAAAUCCCCGGGCUUAACCUGGGAACUGCGUUUGAAACUACAAGACUAGAGUGUAGCAGAGGGGGGUGGAAUUCCAUGUGUAGCAGUGAAAUGCGUAGAGAUAUGGAAGAACACCGAUGGCGAAGGCAGCCCCCUGGGUUAACACUGACGCUCAGGCACGAAAGCGUGGGGAGCAAACA